UUGCUGUUUGAAGAAUCGUUGUCGCAGCUCACGCACAGGGAGCUUCUGGCUCUCUCCAUCCGCUGUGGGGAAAGUCCCCGGAGAUACAGGGCGUGUCCUCGUCCAACCCAACGGAAAGCGACCGGCUCUAAGCACGACGGUACUGGUCGAGGACGGCGAGAAUGAUUUGCAAGGCCAAAGUCUUAUCGGGUGCCUUGCUCCAUCUCAGCCACUCUGUUGCUUGAUUUAACGGUGGACCUCUCGGUGACGGCGUAGGUGCGCAAAGAUACGAGCGUGCCUAUUGCUCGAGUGGUUUGAUCGGAGGACGAGCAGUUCGUUGCUCAUAGACACAGUUAUACGAUUGUCGACCUGGCUUCCAGGUCUUCAACUCAAUGGGGCUCACUCUCAUUCAGCA
This 394-nucleotide RNase MRP RNA is filed under the name Laccaria amethystina LaAM-08-1. Its description in RNAcentral is "RNase MRP". It matches the Rfam family "RNase MRP". Rfam says of the family: RNase MRP is an enzymatically active ribonucleoprotein with two distinct roles in eukaryotes. In mitochondria it plays a direct role in the initiation of mitochondrial DNA replication. The record is from Rfam by way of RNAcentral. Lineage: Eukaryota; Fungi; Basidiomycota; Agaricomycetes; Agaricales; Hydnangiaceae.